This 2220-nucleotide long non-coding RNA is filed under the name Homo sapiens (human). Its description in RNAcentral is "HSALNT0005064". Lineage: Eukaryota; Metazoa; Chordata; Mammalia; Primates; Hominidae. The record is from RNAcentral.
AUUCCGCCCGCAGACUCUUUGCUCAAGUACGACACCCCAGUGCUGGUGAGCCGGAACACGGAGAAACGGAGCCCCAAGGCUCGGCUACUGAAAGUCAGCCCCCAGCAGCCUGGACCUUCAGGUUCAGCCCCACAGCCACCCAAGACCAAGCUCCCCUCAACUCCCUGUGUCCCAGAUCCUACAAAGCAGGCAGAAGAAAUCUUGAAUGCCAUACUACCCCCAAGAUCGCAGAAUUGGAGACGGAAAAGAGAGACCUGGAGAGGCAAGUGAACGAGCAGAAGGCAAAAUGUGAAGCCACUGAGAAGCGGGAGAGCGAGAGGCGGCAGGUGGAGGAGAAGAAGCACAAUGAGGAGAUUCAGUUCCUGAAGCGAACAAAUCAGCAGCUGAAGGCCCAACUGGAAGGCAUUAUUGCACCAAAGAAGUGAUAAUUUCCACAUGAUUAAUUUCCAACAAGACACUUGGGAGUUAUUUACUGUGUUCCUCUGGCAGCCAAUAAAAUCAUCAUAAGCCCUUUGUAAUAAAAAGCUAGUUUCCUGAGUGAACAAGCCAUAACCUCCCCUAAACACCACCUAGGUAUUUGUUAGAAGUCACACUAUUACUCCAAUGUCAUCAGACACCUAAGGUCUGCCAGCCAGGCUCCUGGCUGGGCAAUGGAAGAUGGUGUGGCCCUGUUAGUCUCCGUGUGUGGCUUACUAGCCAGCCUUGGGAACUGCCAACUCAAAUUCUAAGAAAGCCACUGCUUUCUCAUCAUCACUCUAUACCAAUACUUAUUUCUGGCCAAAUGAAUCUGCUUCUCUGCCCCUCAAACUUUUAGUUCACAAUUCAUCUUCUACCUUAACUUGGGCUUCUUGGGCCUCUGGCCUUCCUUACUUAAUGUCUUCUUUUCCCUACUCUAAUGCAUUUCUAACUCACUUUGGAGCUUUGGUUUUCUAAUGUAUUAUCCCCACUUGCCAGUCAACUGGACCCCUUCCUCCUCGGUUUCAGACUGCCUACAUUAGGAAACAAUGGCAGUCAAACCCAUGGCUUUGGAGAAAGUAAAUGUUUGCCAGAAAGGAAUACUAGUCACAGUGGCCUUUGUGAGUUGUCUGCAACUCAGCUCUUCCCCCAGCACAGAUCUGUUCCCCUUAUCCUGCAGAAAAUCAAGCCCUGACUCUGCACUCCCCGAAGUAGUGAUGUUAAUUAACAACUGAAGAGGUAACUAAAUCUCACAUGCAGGUCUAAUGACUAAUAAUUGGAGUACGGCUGCUAGACAACUGCAUUUUAGUAUUUCUCUUCCAUUCUCCUGGUUUUGUAGACCCAGAAGAUUGAAUGAGUGACAUAAAUCUUUAGUUCGGGGCAAGCCAGGGUGGGCUAGGGUGGUAAGCUGGAGGACUUCAUCCUUCAGUUAGGCUGCACAAGUAACAUUACCUAAAAGGCACUAACAUGCUCAGGUUCCCCAGAAAGAGGCGUAAGAAGGGCCUCUCCUUAGCAGAGCUUCCACCUGCCAUCCGUCUUGGGUUCAGUGAGCUUCAAGGCUCACAAUGGAAGCACUGUCAUUUCCCCAGAAAAGCUGUGUUCCCUAUGCUGAACACACCAUACACAUUCUCAUCUGGAAUCUAAGGAGCAGCUUUUACCCUGAUCCAGUAUCCUGAGGAAUUUUAAGCCUCCACUCAAAUGACCUGCCUGUGUUGUCAUUUCCAUGGGAAAGAACUCUUUCCACGAGAUCUGCUAGUUCCAGGCCUCUAAGACAGGAACGUAUGUGCCAUAAGUGGGUCUACUUCACAGACUCAAUGAGGCAGAAAUUAUUGUAGUUUUCUCCUAUUUCUUCUGCACCCAACUUUCUCCUUGUAUUUCAAAGGCCAGGCCAUGUACACUAACGUCCUUGAAAUUUGCAGUUCUGUAUGCUUCUAUUCCAAAUCAUUCAUUACCAAUAAAAACGAAAUACCACCCUUUCCAUUUUAUAGACCUCAUCCCCUAUUUCUGUCAGACAGUUAUAUGACAGGGUGACUGUGGAACCUCUUAGUUCAUCCAAAGUCUACCUGAAGUGCUAGACUUUCAGACUCUUAUCACUGAAAUCCUUAAGGUUGAGGAGGCUUUAUUUCCCUAGCACUGGUGAAGGGCUUCAACUGUCAAACCUCAGAACAAAUGCAUUAGGGCCUUAGAAAUGUCAAUGGGGCAGGAAGAAAACACAAUUUCUAACUGCCUGUUUUUGUAUAAUUUAAUAAAAACCUUUUAAACAUU